This 347-nucleotide transfer-messenger RNA is filed under the name human gut metagenome. It matches the Rfam family "transfer-messenger RNA". From Rfam's summary of the family: Bacterial tmRNA, also known as 10Sa RNA or SsrA, is named for its dual tRNA and mRNA-like properties. The record is from RNAcentral.
GGGGAUGUAAAGGUUUCGACAGGGAUCCUGAACCGUGAUAAGCAUGAAGCGUUACGGGAACGCUUUGAAAACCGAACUUUAAACAAUAACUGACAAAAAUACAGUUGCUUUUGCAGCUUAAUUAAGCUGCCGUCCUGCCGUUUUUUACCGUGGGAACGGAAAGGGCGUCAUUUUUGCGGUGAACGUGAGCGGUUGCUUUCUCCGGCGCUGCCAUGAAAAGGAGAUACCGAACCAUAUAGCCUGAUUGCCGGCGAUACGGUAAGGGAAUUUCAGUAGACAAGAUAAUCAUGUAGAAAGUUGCGGGAACGGUUUUUUGGACGCGGGUUCGACUCCCGCCAUCUCCACCA